UCUGUCUAUAAAGUCGUGACAUGAAUGUUUGAGGAACUAACAUUAUUCAUGUGUCUGGCAACACCAAAGAUCACCAAACAUAUGUACAUCAGCUGUCAUCGAGAACAAGUUGUGGAACAAUUUUCAUUUCGUGGUUUUUAUUGUUUGACUAAUCUCCUGUAAAUUAUUACUCAGCUACGAAGAAAAGUAUAAACAAUGAGUAAAGUAAAUUGGAGUGCUACGCGGAAAGUGAUUUUUAAAGUUUUCCAGCAAUGUUCCGCGGAGUACCAAGCUGGUCAAAUUUUGUGGGAUUUUGAUGUUUUUUAUGGGCGAACAGCAUCUUUGACGGGUACGUAAUCGUGUUACUGCUUGUUUAUAAUCUACCUAAAGUAACAAAUUUACUGCAUUUUGCGAUUUGGUGACCAAAACAGGCAUUGUUUACAUAGGACAUUUUUAGGUUAAAUUUUCAUUGAAAAUCAGAGAGUACGGUUAAGCGCAUAGUCAAUGAAGGUUUUCAGAAUAAUGGAAAAUUUAGAACUCCUGGGAAACACAGGCAAGGCCGACCAAAGAAAGAAAUGGAUAAUUUUAAUAUUUGUGCUCUGCGCCAAAAAAUAUAAUUUUUUACACGGUACAAAAAGAGGUCACAAAAUGUUCGCAAUCUCUAAACAUCAAAGGCAUCACAAAAGACAUUUUCAAAGGAAAGCGUUACAUCAUAGUCCAUGCUGGAAGCGAAAAGGGGUUUGUGCCAAACUGCCUCCUCAUAUUCACUGGCAGAAAUAAUUUGGAAGACUACCAUUUAGAAAUGAAUGCGCAUAACUUCACGAAGUGGAUUAAAGAAAAACUAAUACCAAAUCUUCAUGAGCCUUCCAUUAUAUUUAUGGACCUGUACCAAGACAAUUGGUUAUUUGCUUAGGCGAUAAUAACAGCAGCGAAGAUGAUGAUGUGAAUGAUGACAGCGCUGCUUAUGAAAGUGGCAACGAAACUUUUCUUAACAUCGAAAAUUUGGAAUCCGAUGAUGAAAGUUAUUAAUAAAUGUCCUUAUUAACUAUGUAUAA
Long non-coding RNA from Ostrinia nubilalis (European corn borer), 1034 nucleotides. RefSeq lists it as uncharacterized. The transcript is spliced from 3 exons. NCBI's taxonomy places the organism in Eukaryota, Metazoa, Arthropoda, Insecta, Lepidoptera, Crambidae. The record is from RefSeq and is a predicted model, not a curated record.